GAUGAAGAACGUAGCGAUAUGCGAUACGUAAUGUGAAUUGCAAAUUCAGUGAAUCAUCGAGUCUUUGAACGCACAUUGCGCCCCCUGGUAUUCCGGGGGGCAUGCCUGUCCGAGCGUCAUUGCUGCCCUCAAGCACGGCUUGUGUGUUGGGCCCCGUCCUCCGAUCCCGGGGGACGGGCCCGAAAGGCAGCGGCGGCACUGCGUCCGGUCCUCGAGCGUAUGGGGCUUUGUCACCCGCUCUGUAGGCCCGGCCGGCGCUUGCCGAUCAACCCAAAUUUUUAUCCAGGUUGACCUCGGAUCAGGUAGGGAUACCCGCUGAACUUAAGCAUAUCAAUAAGCGGAGGA
RNAcentral lists this unclassified non-coding RNA (345 nucleotides) under soil metagenome. Its description in RNAcentral is "partial contains 5.8S ribosomal RNA, internal transcribed spacer 2, and large subunit ribosomal RNA". The stretch from base 1 to 119 matches the Rfam family "5.8S ribosomal RNA", at positions 35 to 154 of the family's 154-position model. The record is from RNAcentral.